AGAGUUUGAUCCUGGCUCAGAUUGAACGCUGGCGGCGUGCCUAACACAUGCAAGUCGAGCGGUAACAGGUGUAGCAAUACAUGCUGACGAGCGGCGAACGGGUGAGUAAUGCUUCGGAAUCUACCUAAUGGUGGGGAAUAACUAUCCGAAAGGAUAGCUAAUACCGCAUAAGUCCUACGGGGGAAAGCAGGGGAUCGCAAGACCUUGCGCCGAUAGAUGAGCCGAAGCCGGAUUAGCUAGUUGGUAGGGUAACGGCCUACCAAGGCGACGAUCCGUAGCUGGUCUGAGAGGACGACCAGCCACACUGGGACUGAGACACGGCCCAGACUCCUACGGGAGGCAGCAGUGGGGAAUAUUGGACAAUGGGGGCAACCCUGAUCCAGCGACGCUGCGUGUGUGAAGAAGGCCUGCGGGUUGUAAAGCACUUUUAGUGGGGAUGAAAGGUACGGGAUUAAUACCUCUGUACUAUGACCUAACCCACAGAAAAAGCACCGGCUAACUCUGUGCCAGCAGCCGCGGUAAUACAGAGGGUGCAAGCGUUAAUCGGAAUUACUGGGCGUAAAGCGUGCGUAGACGGUUGCGUAAGUCAGAUGUGAAAGCCCCGGGCUCAACCUGGGAAUUGCAUUUGAGACUGCGUAGCUAGGGUGCGGAAGAGGGAAGCGGAAUUUCCGGUGUAGCGGUGAAAUGCGUAGAUAUCGGAAGGAACACCAGUGGCGAAAGCGGCUUCCUGGUCCAGCACCGACGUUCAGGCACGAAAGCGUGGGGAGCAAACAGGAUUAGAUACCCCGGUAGUCC
Molecule: ribosomal RNA, 795 nt
Filed under: uncultured bacterium
Lineage: Bacteria
Description: bacterial SSU rRNA
Rfam family: Bacterial small subunit ribosomal RNA
Source: RNAcentral